GACGAACGCUGGCGGCGUGCUUAACACAUGCAAGUCGAACGGAAAGGCCCUGCUUUUGUGGGGUGCUCGAGUGGCGAACGGGUGAGUAACACGCGAGUAACCUGCCCUUGUCUUUGGGAUAACUUCAGGAAACUGGGGCUAAUACCGGAUAGGAGCUCCUGCUGCAUGGUGGGGGUUGGAAAGUUUCGGCGGUUGGGGAUGGACUCGCGGCUUAUCAGCUUGUUGGUGGGGUAGUGGCUUACCAAGGCUUUGACGGGUAGCCGGCCUGAGAGGGUGACCGGCCACAUUGGGACUGAGAUACGGCCCAGACUCCUACGGGAGGCAGCAGUGGAGAAUAUUGCGCAAUGGGCGGAAGCCUGAUGCAGCAACGCCGCGUGCGGGAUGACGGCCUUCGGGUUGUAAACCGCUUUCGCCUGUGACGAAGCGUGAGUGACGGUAAUGGGUAAAGAAGCACCGGCUAACUACGUG
This 468-nucleotide ribosomal RNA is filed under the name uncultured bacterium. Its description in RNAcentral is "partial 16S ribosomal RNA". It matches the Rfam family "Bacterial small subunit ribosomal RNA", at positions 28 to 507 of the family's 1533-position model. The record is from RNAcentral.